This 606-nucleotide ribosomal RNA is filed under the name uncultured bacterium. Its description in RNAcentral is "partial 16S ribosomal RNA". The record is from RNAcentral.
ACGGUUACCUUGUUACGACUUAGCCCCAGUCACCAGUUUUACCUUAGGGCGCUCCUUGCGGUUGCACACUUCAGGCACUCCCGGCUUCCAUGGCUUGACGGGCGGUGUGUACAAGGCCCGGGAACGUAUUCACCGCGCCAUGGCUGAUGCGCGAUUACUAGCGAAUCCAGCUUCAUGGAGUCGAGUUGCAGACUCCAAUCCGAACUGAGACAGGCUUUCAAGUUCCGCUUUGCGUCGCCGCAUUGCUUCUCUCUGUACCUGCCAUUGUAACACGUGUGUCGCCCCGGACGUAAGGGCCGUGCUGAUUUGACGUCAUCCCCGCCUUCCUCACAGCUUGCGCCGGCAGUCUCGCCAGAGUCCCCAACUUGACUUGCUGGUAACUGGCGAUGGGGGUUGCGCUCGUUAUGGCACUUAAGCCGACACCUCACGGCACGAGCUGACGACAACCAUGCAGCACCUCGACACAGGCUCCUAAGAGCUACCUCCUUUCAAAAGUAUUCCUGUGUCGUUUGAGCCCGGGUAAGGUUCCUCGCGUAUCAUCGAAUUAAACCACAUGUUCCUCCGCUUGUGUGGGCCCCCGUCAAUUCCUUUGAGUUUCACCGUUGC